RNAcentral lists this ribosomal RNA (900 nucleotides) under Pediococcus pentosaceus. RNAcentral describes it as "bacterial SSU rRNA". It matches the Rfam family "Bacterial small subunit ribosomal RNA", at positions 293 to 1186 of the family's 1533-position model. Lineage: Bacteria; Bacillati; Bacillota; Bacilli; Lactobacillales; Lactobacillaceae. The record is from RNAcentral.
UGAGAGGGUAAUCGGCCACAUUGGGACUGAGACACGGCCCAGACUCCUACGGGAGGCAGCAGUAGGGAAUCUUCCACAAUGGACGCAAGUCUGAUGGAGCAACGCCGCGUGAGUGAAGAAGGGUUUCGGCUCGUAAAGCUCUGUUGUUAAAGAAGAACGUGGGUAAGAGUAACUGUUUACCCAGUGACGGUAUUUAACCAGAAAGCCACGGCUAACUACGUGCCAGCAGCCGCGGUAAUACGUAGGUGGCAAGCGUUAUCCGGAUUUAUUGGGCGUAAAGCGAGCGCAGGCGGUCUUUUAAGUCUAAUGUGAAAGCCUUCGGCUCAACCGAAGAAGUGCAUUGGAAACUGGGAGACUUGAGUGCAGAAGAGGACAGUGGAACUCCAUGUGUAGCGGUGAAAUGCGUAGAUAUAUGGAAGAACACCAGUGGCGAAGGCGGCUGUCUGGUCUGCAACUGACGCUGAGGCUCGAAAGCAUGGGUAGCGAACAGGAUUAGAUACCCUGGUAGUCCAUGCCGUAAACGAUGAUUACUAAGUGUUGGAGGGUUUCCGCCCUUCAGUGCUGCAGCUAACGCAUUAAGUAAUCCGCCUGGGGAGUACGACCGCAAGGUUGAAACUCAAAAGAAUUGACGGGGGCCCGCACAAGCGGUGGAGCAUGUGGUUUAAUUCGAAGCUACGCGAAGAACCUUACCAGGUCUUGACAUCUUCUGACAGUCUAAGAGAUUAGAGGUUCCCUUCGGGGACAGAAUGACAGGUGGUGCAUGGUUGUCGUCAGCUCGUGUCGUGAGAUGUUGGGUUAAGUCCCGCAACGAGCGCAACCCUUAUUACUAGUUGCCAGCAUUAAGUUGGGCACUCUAGUGAGACUGCCGGUGACAAACCGGAGGAAGGUGGGGACGACGUC